CGUGCAGCCGGGUCUGCAAGUCAGAUGUGAAAUCCAUGGGCUCAACCCAUGAACUGCAUUUGAAACUGUGGAUCUUGAGUGUCGGAGGGGCAAUCGGAAUUCCUAGUGUAGCGGUGAAAUGCGUAGAUAUUAGGAGGAACACCAGUGGCGAAGGCGGAUUGCUGGACGAUAACUGACGGUGAGGCGCGAAAGUGUGGGGAGCAAACA
Molecule: ribosomal RNA, 207 nt
Filed under: uncultured bacterium
Lineage: Bacteria
Description: partial 16S ribosomal RNA
Rfam family: Bacterial small subunit ribosomal RNA
Source: RNAcentral